CUAGCGUUGCUCGGAAUCACUGGGCGUAAAGCGCACGUAGGCGGACUCUUAAGUCAGGGGUGAAAUCCUGGAGCUCAACUCCAGAACUGCCUUUGAUACUGAGGAUCUUGAGUUCGGGAGAGGUGAGUGGAACUGCGAGUGUAGAGGUGAAAUUCGUAGAUAUUCGCAAGAACACCAGUGGCGAAGGCGACUCACUGGCCCGAUACUGACGCUGAGGCACGAAAGCGUGGGGAGCAAACAGG
Molecule: ribosomal RNA, 242 nt
Filed under: uncultured bacterium
Lineage: Bacteria
Description: partial 16S ribosomal RNA
Rfam family: Bacterial small subunit ribosomal RNA
Source: RNAcentral